RNAcentral lists this ribosomal RNA (468 nucleotides) under uncultured bacterium. RNAcentral's name for it is "partial 16S ribosomal RNA". It matches the Rfam family "Bacterial small subunit ribosomal RNA", at positions 28 to 507 of the family's 1533-position model. The record is from RNAcentral.
GACGAACGCUGGCGGCGUGCUUAACACAUGCAACUCGAACGGAAAGGCCCUGCUUUUGUGGGGUGCUCGAGUGGCGAACGGGUGAGUAACACGUGAGUAACCUGCCCUUGACUUUGGGAUAACUUCAGGACACUGGGGCUAAUACCGGAUAGGAGCUCCUGCUGCAUGGUGGGGGUUGGAAAGUUUCGGCGGCUGGGGAUGGACUCGCGGCUUAUCAGCUUGUUGGUGGGGUAGUGGCUUACCAAGGCUUUGACGGGUAGCCGGCCUGAGAGGGUGACCGGCCACAUUGGGACUGAGGUACGGCCCAGACUCCUACGGGAGGCAGCAGUGGGGAAUAUUGCACAAUGGGCGGAAGCCUGACGCAGCAACGCCGCGUGCGGGAUGACGGCCUUCGGGUUGUAACCCGCUUUCGCCUGUGACGAAGCGUGAGUGACGGUAAUGGGUAAAGAAGCACCGGCUAACUACGUG